RNAcentral lists this long non-coding RNA (2706 nucleotides) under Homo sapiens (human). RNAcentral's name for it is "HSALNT0268209". Lineage: Eukaryota; Metazoa; Chordata; Mammalia; Primates; Hominidae. The record is from RNAcentral.
AUCGUGGUGAAAGUCACCCUCGAAGGCAGCCCUGGGGAGGAUAGAAGGCAGCGCCUUCCCGUCACUGAGCCCAUGGCAAUCAGAGCCCAAUGUCACCAGCGACUCCUGUGAAAUUAGCAGUGACUUCACGCGUUGAGGGCAUGGGGCAAAUGCCACCACCUGUCGGUAUUUCCAUCGGGUCUACACCCAAGAAAGGGGGAGAUGCUGCCUUUCUGAAGUAGGUUGUGCCUGAGGCGGCCUCAGCAGAGAGGAAAUGUGUAGGCGUCCACAGCCAGCCCAGCCUGCUCAGAAUCGCACCCACACUGAAGUUCUGGAGUUGGUGGCAGUGAUUCCUCCUCCAGCUUCCCAGAGCCUUGGAGUGCACUUAGGAGAUCAGCGAGGCCUCUGUGCACUGAUGGAAGCUGGCUUCCCCAGAAAUCUGCUGGAGUGAGGGCCUGUCAGGGGCCCUCCUGGCCGACGUUGACCAGGACUGGCCCAGGGACCAGGUGGACACGAGGGCAAUGAUGUCACAGCUGCCCCGACGGUUGAUGCCCCGUGGCUUGCCACGGCCGUGGCCUUGGAGACAGGGUCUCCGGCGCAGCGCCUCAGCUCCGCCCAUACUCGCUCCGCCCUGGUGGGCUCCAGCCUUUCCCUUUCCCUGGGGCUCAGCCUCCCAAUCAGUCAAAUGGGCAGAUUAACACCCAUGGCCUUGACUCCGUCAGAGACUGGGGGAAGAAAUCGUGAGUCAGGGCAGCGAGGUCUGCGGGGAGCGUUGUGAAGGUGUGAAGUGCUGAGCUCCCAGGUCCCUGGCUGCCACCAUGGGCUCGGAGCCGCGUGGUGAGUUCGCUUUCAUUCCUUAAAAACAGGCAGCCGCUAAGUGGAGAAACUGGGACACCCUUUGCAUCUUCUCAAUCUUAGUUCAGUGCUGUUUCCAAUAAACCACGGCUAUCCUUUAUCAGGGAUAAAGUCCUUUGGAUCAUCCAACUUCAGCUUGGACAGAGUUUCCUGAUAAAUAACAACAACAAUCAUAGUUGCCUGUGUUUCCCAGAAAACAAAGAUGAGGCAAAAGCUUAUGUGCUUUAGCACAUAAAGUGCAUUGUUGGAAGAGUGCAUUCCCAGGCUGCAGGAGUGAGGAAAAAGGAGAAGGAGGCAGAAAAGGAUGAAAAGAAAAUACAAGGAAGCUUCUAUCAAGCUGGGCACAGACUGGGGACAGCCUCACUGCACGGUCUUGCAGAACGUUCUCAGAGAUGGGACAGGAGCUGCUGUAGGUUCAGUCUACCUGGGAAAGAGGGAGAGGGAUUUGCUCACCAAAUCCCAUGUCCCAUUCGUCAAUGUCUGCCCCACGAGGUAUUAAUUUCCAGCACUCCCGGAGCUGCCUGAAUGUGGGCCCCCAAGGGUCCCUUGGAGUUGAGAUCUCAAAGUUGAUGUGAUGGGUAUGAUGGAUGUGAAAGAUGGAGCAGCAGCAGCCGGUUUGCAGCCUUGAGGGAAAGGCCAAGAGGCUUGUGGAAGUCUCGGUGAUGCCAUCUCCAAGAUGCUGAACCACGACCAGCAAUUUCCUACCCCAGAUUUCUCAAGAUUUGAGGAAAACAGUUAUGUAAUUAAGUUUCUAUAGCUACGCUUUCUGUUCCUGGAAGCUGAAAGCAUUCCUGAUUAAUGUGGUUAGUUUUCUGUUCAACUAGCAAACAGUACAGUGGUAAUGACAGAGUCCUAGACUAUCUGGGCUGAAAGGAACCUCAAACAGAGGUCAACCAGUGACCUGUCCUUUCAUUUCACAGGGACGAAAAGGGACAGGAAAGGGGUCCUUUCUGGGGUGCUUGUCCAGGGUGCUUCAGGGAGAGAGGGGUGGAACCAGGACUGUUUUCUGCAUUUCUCAGCAGCUCACGGUUGCUUUCACCACACCUCACUGAUGUGUGCUAUCUUCCAGGCAAUAAUGACAAGAGCCACCAUUUACUUAUUAGGCCAGGUGCAGAUUAAGUACUUUGCCUAUAUCAAUUCAUUACAUUCUCACCAAACUCCUCCAAGGGAGACAGUCUUGUUAUCAUUUGCAUUUAUGAGGAUGAAGCCAAGCACAGAGAGAUCAAGUAACUUGUCCAAGUAUCCAAAUCCAGACAUUGUAGUGAUGAUGACUCCAACCUCAGGAGUCUGGAGCCUGAGCUCCCACAUGGAACCACUAGGCUGUACUGCCUGGGUGGGGUUUCAGAAAUGCUGGUAUAAGAUUCCAGGCUGGUAGGAGCUUCUUAGGGUGAGACGAGUAGGGGCAAAUCAGCAGGGCCACCUCUCUGGUAAAGUCCUUGGGGCACUGCUUCCGGGAAACACAAUGUCAGUGGUGCCACUGGGCUGUCCAAUGUGGUGGCCCCAGGGUUUUGUCCCUGCAAGUGUCACACUGUGAGUUCCUCAGGAACUAGAUGACAACAUAAACAAAUGAAGCCAGGUGACUAUAGUGAGGGGUGUGGAAUGAGGCCAAUUGGGGAGCCCAAGCACCUUCUAAAGGAGCAUCGGCCCCUCAGCUUCAGCCUCUGUUACUGUGGGAAAAUAUGGGUCCACAUUUUACAGUUUUAUAGGUUUUCAAUGACUGCCUCAAAUCUGGACCUUUUUCUCUCUCUCUGCUUUAAUUUAAUUUAAUAUAUCUCUCUUGGUUGUGCAUCAUUUAAUUUUAUUCUUAGGUAAUUUUUUUAUUGUUAUGUCAUCCAUAUACCCUAAAAUUCACCAUUUUGAAGUAUGUAGUUG